GCUGGUGACUAUACUGAAGGGGAAACGCCUGAUCCCAUUCCGAACUCAGAAGCUAAGCCCUUCAGGCCGAUGAUAGUCUAAGCGAAAGUAGGUGAUCGCCAGCU
Phycisphaerae bacterium is the source of this 104-nucleotide non-coding RNA. Lineage: Bacteria; Pseudomonadati; Planctomycetota; Phycisphaerae. The record is from Rfam.